GUUGAUUCAUGAAUGUCAUUCAUUGCAAUUGCUUGCACUGGGGAGGGUAUACUAUUUAAAUCUUUGUGCCUGCAAGACUUGUUGACAGGUGGGAUUUUGUACAUUUGAGAACAAGUGGGCAAGGCAAGGGGCUUCAGCCUAUGUGCUUUCUAAAUCUAUGAAUCUUAAAUGCACUAGAGCUUUUUAGGUAAGGACAACUUCUAACUCACUCAAUAGCCACAUUCCUUUAAGCAGACAUAUAUGAAGAAUAUUUGUGGGCAUGCAGAAAACCGCAAUCAGAUAAAAUUAAAAAUUUUUAUUGCUAAAAUUGAAGCACCAAAGUAUUUCAAGUACUUAGUUACACUCAGAGCUCUGGGCUGGUGAAAAAAGAAAAAAAAAGAAAAGAAUGAUAUUAAGGGAAUUUUGUUCCUAAGAACUCGCCUUCAAAUGCUCUUUUUUUUCCAUGUCUUCUAAUUUUCUUUCAUCUGUUAGGAAACUGGGUUGAUGUGAGCACAUAGUAAACUCAGGACAUUGUGUUGUAUAUUUUCAGUGUGGCUUUAUUUAUAUUUCAAUUUUAUAACAUUAUACAGAUGUCAAAAUCAGAGAUGAUAACAAAGUCAGUAUAUCUAUCUGAACUCAAGUAAGGUAAUAUCUUUUUAGGUUUUUAGAAAGUUUAACACAGAUCUUACGAAACUGAUUCAUAACAAAGUUUAUAACAUUCCCUAGCUAUCAUUAGUCAGCAGCCUCAGAGUCCAGGUGAAAAUAUUUUGCAUCAAAUCUGAAAAAUUCUCUGUCUUUUAGUACAUCAGUAUUAAUGCAAGAAGUAAAUCUGAAUAACUAGAUAAACAUACUCCCUCCACAGAAAUCAGAGGAAAGUUUCCAGUACUGCAUUCAUUCAUUGCUGCUUGGAUUAUGGUUGCUGUGUUAAACAUAGUUUGGUAUUUCUUUGGUAUUUCUGGUUGAAAGGACUGAUGGUGAGGGGCUGCUGAGAAAUUCCAAUGGUCCUGUGUGGAAAACAGAAGGUACAUGUGACUGAAGGAGCAGAAGAGAGAGAAAGUGGUUUAGCCCUUCAUCACCAUCCCGUGGUAGCUGCUGGGAAGCCAAAGUCUAAUGGGCUAGAUGCAGGAUAUGUCUUCACCUGUUUGGAAAGGUGUCUUGAAAGAGAUUCCCUGCCACUGAAGGAUGUUGCUGGCAUGACUGAUAUUCCACACGCAGCAAAUAAUUGGUACCGCAAGGAAAAAAAGUAUUUUCAUUUUGUACUUGGGGAGCUAAUUUAAAGUAGUUUUAUCUUACUGAUAUCACAUGCAAAGGAAGAUCAGUGAUACAUGAAUAUGCAUAACAACUACACAGAGUAGUGAAAAAGUCAAACAAUUUAAAGGGGUACAUACUGCACUGUAAGCAUAAUUUAUGGAGUAUAUGUCUUUGCUUGAGGCUUGUCCAAAGUUCCAUGCUCUAUCAAUCAGCUGACUGGAUUAUUAAAGCAGCUGAUGUUUUUUAAAGCUUUAGACAGAGUCACCAGUGCUGAUUUUGCACCACUAAAAUGUUUUGCUGUACAGGGAGAAUAAGUUCCUGCUAAGUUUUCAUUGUUGGUGAAGUGGAAAAUAACCACAGUGUGUAGGAUGAUCUUAGGAGAUAUACACAGUCUUAAAAAACAUACAAACAAACAUGUCUUGUUUUUUUUCUUUUUAUUUUCUUUUCCCUUGAGAAAAAAAAAAAGGCAAAAAAAAGAAGCUUCUAAUCAGAAUAAUAGGUUGUUUCACUGGACUUCCCCAGAGUCUAAUUUCCUCCCUUUUCAGUAGGGGGAUCGUUGUUAACUAUAAAAACAAAGAUUAUGCAACAGUUCAGAAAGUAUGGGCACAGAUUUACUGUCUUCUAAAUGUGCAAGACCACACAUACAGAAGAUUUUAAGUGAAUGUUAUUAUUAUUUUUUUUAAAGUGUCAUGUGAAUGUCAUUCUCUCUCUUAAAAUGUAUUUCAAAUGCCUGAAUGUUUGAUGAUAUGAUCAAGAGGAACUUGGCAGGGUUUCAGAUUUAGAGAUUGAUAUAGUUCAGACAAAAGCUAGAGUAAGGAGGCCAGUGCCACUGCCCAAACUAAAUAUGUUUUCCCUGUUGUCUAAGGGUUAGUCAAAGGAUUGAUUUGCCAGUGUUCCAUUUCCAGAGGGCAAGUAGGCAGAGGAAUUCCUUUAGAGUUAUUGAGGUAUUGAUUAGAUUUAAUGAAACAGAACUGAGAAUAACGUGAUUUAUUUUCAAAACUUCUAGAAUAGAGCAGCUUCUGUAUUCUUCUUCAAGUGGGUUGUUUAAAUGCCAGCAGUAGAAUACCACAGGAGGCUGAAGAAAAAGGAAACAAGAGAGAUGUGCACACAGAUAAAGGUAUUUAUUGAGAAUUAUUAUAUUUUGUAGCCAAGGCAUAGCUUGCAAUUAAUACAUUUUUGAGGGACAAAUACUAUUUUUUUUUCUUUCUUUUUUUUUUUUUUUGUUUUCCACUGAUGAAACUAAAAUGGUUGCAAUUUGAAUUUAUUGGUAUCACAGCUGCUUACACAGUUGUACACACUUACUUAUAAUAAUUAUGGUAUAAUUGCAGUGAUAUACUGAGAACUGUAGUGAGGGAGGAAGAAAUAUCAGAAAAGUCUAGUGAGGGUCCUGAAUCCUGUUGUAAUUAAAAUCCCAUUUUUGAAACAAAAAGGUUGAGUAAGUUUAGUUUGUCUGGUGCAUCUAGUCCAUUCUUUUGCAAUCCAUUGGGUAAUUUUUCUGAUGAGAGAAGACAAGAGUUAUGGGAACAAUAUAACUCUUACCUACUGCUGGCAUGUACUGGUGUAACUCAUACUGCUUUAUAACAUAAUGUAGUUGCACAGGUUGCCCUUGGCCUAAUUCUAUUCCUGCUUUUUGUGUGGCUUUAGUCUUCUUAAAAGCUUAUACGUAAAAAUGCCUUCUGACUAAGCAAAGAAUUCUUUAGAAAGCUUGAGGAAUGAAACUUGCUUCCAUUGACAGCAGCACUAAUCCUUGCUAUCAGCUCCAGUUCAGUUAGAUCAGGGAUGAUGUCUGGGUAUUUUAGAGCUGGAUAAGCACAGAAACAUGGUGUUUAUGCAUUUAAUCAACUGUACGUGGCAUUGGUUUAUGACCUGGCGCUUCCCACAAGAUAAUGAGUUAAUUACACGUACCUGGGUACUGUGAGGUGAAGGCUUGUGUUUUGGAUAUAACCAGGAUAUAACCCUGCUGUUUGAGAAUUUUUCAAAUUUGAUGGGAAAGGGGGAUUGGUGGCAGGUUACUGAUAGAGUAGGUGUCCAGGGAGCUGCAGAAAUAAAACAAAAAUCUACUCAGGAGAGAGGAAUAUU
Molecule: long non-coding RNA, 3309 nt
Filed under: Anser cygnoides (Swan goose)
Lineage: Eukaryota; Metazoa; Chordata; Aves; Anseriformes; Anatidae
Description: lncRNA (ENSACDG00005002266.1)
Source: RNAcentral